UACGUAGGGUGCAAGCGUUAAUCGGAAUUACUGGGCGUAAAGCGUACGCAGGCGGCUUUGCAAGACAGGUGUGAAAUCCCCGGGCCUAACCUGGGAACUGCAUUUGUGACUGCAUAGCUAGAGUUUGUCAGAGGGUGGUGGAAUUCCACGUGUAGCAGUGAAAUGCGUAGAUAUGUGGAGGAACACCGAUGGCGAAGGCAGCCCCCUGGGAUGUGACUGACGCUCAUGUACGAAAGCGUGGGGAGCAAACAGG
RNAcentral lists this ribosomal RNA (253 nucleotides) under uncultured bacterium. Its description in RNAcentral is "partial 16S ribosomal RNA". It matches the Rfam family "Bacterial small subunit ribosomal RNA", at positions 524 to 776 of the family's 1533-position model. The record is from RNAcentral.